This 78-nucleotide transfer RNA is filed under the name Colletotrichum orbiculare MAFF 240422. RNAcentral describes it as "tRNA-Lys (CTT) (tRNA-Lys-CTT-5-1)". It matches the Rfam family "tRNA". Rfam says of the family: Transfer RNA (tRNA) molecules are approximately 80 nucleotides in length. Lineage: Eukaryota; Fungi; Ascomycota; Sordariomycetes; Glomerellales; Glomerellaceae. The record is from Rfam by way of RNAcentral.
GCCUUGCUAGCUCAAUCGGUAGAGCGUGAGACUCUUAAUCUCAUGAGAAGGUUGCGGGUUCGACCCCCGCGUGAGGCU